CUACGGAGGGUGCGAGCGUUAAUCGGAAUUACUGGGCGUAAAGGGUGCGUAGGCGGCUUGAUAAGUCGGAUGUGAAAGCCCCGGGCUUAACCUGGGAAUUGCAUUCGAUACUGUCAGGCUAGAGUAUGUCAGAGGUUGGCGGAAUUCCUGGUGUAGCGGUGAAAUGCGUAGAUAUCAGGAGGAACACCAGUGGCGAAGGCGGCUAACUGGGACAAUACUGACGCUGAGGCACGAAAGCGUGGGGAGCAAACAGGAUUAGAUACCCCAGUAGUCC
Molecule: ribosomal RNA, 274 nt
Filed under: uncultured bacterium
Lineage: Bacteria
Description: partial 16S ribosomal RNA
Rfam family: Bacterial small subunit ribosomal RNA
Source: RNAcentral